UACGUAGGGGGCAAGCGUUGUCCGGAUUUAUUGGGCGUAAAGAGCGUGUAGGCGGUUUGGUAGGUCCGUUGUGAAAACUCGAGGCUCAACCUCGAGACGCCGAUGGAAACCAUCAGACUAGAGUCCGGAAGAGGAGAGUGGAAUUCCUGGUGUAGCGGUGAAAUGCGCAGAUAAUCAGGAAGAACACCCGUGGCUAAGGCGGCUCUCUAGUACGGUACUGACGCUGAGACGCGAAAGCGUGGGGAGCGAACAGG
RNAcentral lists this ribosomal RNA (254 nucleotides) under uncultured bacterium. RNAcentral describes it as "partial 16S ribosomal RNA". It matches the Rfam family "Bacterial small subunit ribosomal RNA", at positions 524 to 776 of the family's 1533-position model. The record is from RNAcentral.